GUUCAUGUAGCGCAAUAGAUAGCGCGUUGGACUUCUAAUCCAAGGGUCGUGGGUUCGAAUUCCACCUGGGAUG
This 73-nucleotide transfer RNA is filed under the name Trichonephila inaurata madagascariensis. It matches the Rfam family "tRNA". From Rfam's summary of the family: Transfer RNA (tRNA) molecules are approximately 80 nucleotides in length. Their secondary structure includes four short double-helical elements and three loops (D, anti-codon, and T loops). Further hydrogen bonds mediate the characteristic L-shaped molecular structure. tRNAs have two regions of fundamental functional importance: the anti-codon, which is responsible for specific mRNA codon recognition, and the 3' end, to which the tRNAs corresponding amino acid is attached (by aminoacyl-tRNA synthetases). tRNAs cope with the degeneracy of the genetic code in two manners: having more than one tRNA (with a specific anti-codon) for a particular amino acid; and 'wobble' base-pairing, i.e. permitting non-standard base-pairing at the 3rd anti-codon position. Lineage: Eukaryota; Metazoa; Arthropoda; Arachnida; Araneae; Nephilidae. The record is from Rfam by way of RNAcentral.